UGGGCGGUAUACUCCCGACUCCUAUUCCAAUUUCAAAAACAAAGCGCAGGUUCCCUCCUUUUUAAGCCAGGACGUCGCGAGGGAAAGAGGGGGCAAGGCAAGAAUGGAGGGAGAAGACACGGGGACGAAAGGUGAAGCUUUGAAAUCUCAGAUUGCGAUCCGCUGUAUGAGAGCAAAUUUCCUUAUUUCAUCGCUGAAGUCUCUCCAGGCUUACCGCAAUGCGAGCACAAGAGACGACGGCGAGGAGGAAGAUAAAAGAGACCGGUUGCUGAGAACCAUUACAAAUCUGAAGAUAGAAUUGGCCAGAGAGCGAGAGAUGAACAGGCAGAUCAGGAUUUUCAGCUCGGUCGAGGCAUUUUUUUGUAUCCUGGUGCUGUUAUCGCUCUGGAGUUUCUGUUUGACGUUCGCAUUCGGAUCGGAAUGAAAUGCAACCUUUCUCCUUUUUUUUGUCUGGACCAACGAACUCGAUUUCGUAUUGCUCUCACAGCUUGGUUUCAUCUACCCUUCCUAUUAGGAGCUUUUCUACGGAAGAGGGACACUGAACAGUGGACUGCCAGUAAACUAGAAUUCAAUUUGUUAUUGCAAAACAAUAACAUUUUUGGAGAAAUUCCGAUGGAGCUCGAAAACCUUCCCACUGUUCUCCGGCAACAUUCCCAUGUCUUUGGGUCAACUCAACAAUUUGCCAUACCCGUGAGCUUUUUGAAUAAACACAGAGAGCUAUUAAUCUCUGUCUUUGUUGAAUUCAUGCUUCAUUCUC
Nelumbo nucifera (sacred lotus) is the source of this 757-nucleotide long non-coding RNA. RefSeq lists it as uncharacterized. Lineage: Eukaryota; Viridiplantae; Streptophyta; Magnoliopsida; Proteales; Nelumbonaceae. The record is from RefSeq and is a predicted model, not a curated record.